GGACGCCACUGACUGGCACAUGCUACAGCACAACCCAGUUUGAAGCCGCCACAUCUCAACUUCAGUAGCAAUGUGUGUCUCGUGGCAGUCAUCAUAGACAGCUCAGCUGUAAGCAGUAAACUCCCUGAGGGCUCAGAACCACAACAGCCUUACUGCUCUAUCCACAGCACCAGACUGUGCUUAACUCAAAGUAAGCCAAGUAUUUGAUAUUUUUUAAAAAAAUACAAUUUUAAGGAAUAAUUGUACGGAAGAAGAAAGGGAAGCCCAGAGAGAGGAAGGGAUUGACUCCACGGUCAUAGCACUAAUUAAUGGGAAACCACUACCAGCCCUCAUCUGGAGCUAUACACCCCAGCACCUCCUGGAAACUGGCGGCAUCACUCAGGCCAGUCUUCCCCACUGGAUGGAUAGGUAUUAUGUAAGCGGCAUUAACGUGCAAGGCACUGACUGCUGGAGAUGGUAUUUUGAAGUCCUCUGAACAGCUCUUAUAUUAUCAGUGGAGAUUUCCUUCAAGAUUCAGCCUUCAAUUUCUUCAGGCAAAGCUGCGAAGUGAGUCAGAGUUAACACUCCAUCCCCAGGUUCAACUGGAGGGGCAGGGGAGGCAGAGGUGGGGAACCUGUGGGCAGGAAUGAGA
This 631-nucleotide long non-coding RNA is filed under the name Capra hircus (goat). RNAcentral's name for it is "lncRNA (ENSCHIG00010017667.1)". Lineage: Eukaryota; Metazoa; Chordata; Mammalia; Artiodactyla; Bovidae. The record is from RNAcentral.